CGGUUAACGUACUUACCCGGGACUUACGGGGACUACCGGUCGAACGGUCAAACGGUUCGAAAACGUCUAAAGGAACGUUCGAACGGGGUACCUAGACCGGUACGACGGUCGAAGUCGUAGUUAGUCGGGUUUAAAGUUACGUAACGUCGUAAACGACCGUAACGAACCUUACCGUAAACGUACCUUAGUACCUUAGUAACCGUUUCGUAAACGUUACGUAAGUACGUAGUACGUACGUACCGGUUUACCCUUACGGGGGUUACCGUAAACGGUUACGGUAACCGUAGGGUUACGGUUAGGUCGGUUACGUUCGGGUUUACGUUACGGGUUCCGUACGGUCCGUUACCGGGUUCGGUUACCGGUUACGGUACGGUUACGGUUUACGGUUUCCGGGGUUUAAGUUACCCCGGGUACGUAAACCCGGUACGUAACCCGGUUACGUAACCCCGUUUUAAAGGUACCGUUUUAACGGUUUAGGUUACCCGUAAGUUUACCGUAGGUUUUAACGUUUACGGGGUUACCUUAACGGGUUUCCUAACGGGUUUUGGAACCGGUUUGGACCCCGGGUUAACGGGACCGGUAAAAACCCGGGGUAGGGGAAAACGGUUUGGGGGGAAACGUUUCGGGAAANCGGUAACUAACUACUACGUACGUACGUCGUCCGUACGUGAGUUGGGUCGUACACACGUGCUACAAUAGGACGAAUACAAAGGGACGAGACUAACCGACGAGGUCGAUGCAACUACCAUAAAGUUGUUCUCAGUUCGGAUUGUAGUCUGCAACUCGACUACAUGAAGCUGGAAUCGCUAGUAAUCGUAGAUCAGCAUGCUACGGUGAAUACGUUCCCGGUCGACGCGGCCG
Molecule: ribosomal RNA, 861 nt
Filed under: uncultured bacterium
Lineage: Bacteria
Description: partial 16S ribosomal RNA
Rfam family: Bacterial small subunit ribosomal RNA (bases 586-846)
Source: RNAcentral